CAGUGCUCCCAGUAAGAGCGGCACUGGCAGGGAAAGCGCUCCCAGUUCCUUAACGCUGCUCUCAGGAUCGCUCUCGGUGCUCCCAGGAUCGCUCCCAGUGCCGCGCGGGACGGGCCCGCUGUGAAACCCGCCCAGGUCAGAGCGCGGCUGCUUUGGGGGGUCUGCAUAGCCCGGGCCGGGCUGGGAGCGGAGGAGGAGUGGGAGGAAGAGGAGCGACAGAGGAGGAGGAGGAAGAGCAGCACCAACACCCCGCGGUUUCCCCGCUCAGCCCGCCGCUCUCCCGGAUCCGCCAGCAUCGCCCGCUCAGCCGGAACCCGCAGGAUUCGUUAUUCCCAAACCUUGGCAGGAUGAAAAAGGAGGAGGCCAUGAGGAAGAGAAAGAUGGCCCGGGAGCCCCAGGCAGACCAGGAGCUGAGGAUGGAGAGCAGGGAGGACAAAUCCCCACAGCAGAACCUCGUGGAAGAGGCUGUUUUGUGCAGCUCCACAGCGCAGGAACCCAAUGGGGAAGAAAAGCCCCGGAGAUCCCGCAUGAGGAGGGGCUG
Molecule: long non-coding RNA, 541 nt
Organism: Melozone crissalis (California towhee)
Lineage: Eukaryota; Metazoa; Chordata; Aves; Passeriformes; Passerellidae
Exons: 3
Source: RefSeq, a predicted model, not a curated record